AUGAUAACAAGGAGCCCUUACGACUUCAUCUACAGGGCUGCUCAACACGGGUUUGAAUUUGUGGGGUUUUUUGUCCGUGUUGCUGCAAUCCGUUCUCCCCCCACCCGUUGGAGUCACUGACACGGUUGUAUGGAUGUUCGUUAAGGAGAGGCCCAGCAGCAUGAGGGGCAGGGUUUGCUACGCUGGAGUCGGAGCAUACAACCAAGACAGCAGUCUUCUGAUUCACAGAGUUUCCAAAGUUAGUCUUGAAAGAUAGGCUGGAAGUCCCUUGUUUGAAGUCAGCAAAGCAGUUGGCUGACUCGAUUAACAAUUGAGAUGAGGUGCAUCGUUAUUGGAAAAACGCAUGAAAAUCCUGGCCUUGAAAUCAUACCGUGGGGCAGUGCUUCAGAUGCUGCAAGCAAGAUGGUCAUAGAACCGGUCGGUGAGACAAGUAUGCGUUUUGUUCAUCUUCAUGGCCUGGCGCAUCCCCUGUUCUGUGUGCCUGACUGAGGCUACAGCCCACUUGAUAAGGUCUUCUGGGGAAUUCUGGUGAUGAAAGUAACGGAUGGGUAACAGGCUCUCCAAACAAGUUCUAUUUUGGCAGCCGCAAGGUGACCGGAAGAGAGGUGGACCAAAAGGAAGGCUUCACAACGCAUUAAGGAUUAAAGCAUCAAUCUUAUUUUAUGGGCUAUCAGCAGGAACAGAUUGAAGGAUCUGGCUCAGGACCAGGAUUGUUGGUGAAAAGUGACUUCUGUUUUCCACAGUUGGUGUUCAAGGGAUCACUGAGGUCAACAUACUGUAUCAUCAUAAACGAGUAGUAGUACAGAAUUGAAGCCUGUACGUUACUUGCACAAGUUUACAAAGAAAAGGAAGCUUGGACAUUGGUUAAUCUUGAACCAUUUUCGCUGCCAUGAAUUCAAACCAGAUUUUUGACAAAGAAACCAAAUAAUUUUCUUCAUCAUCAUCAUCUUUUUUUAAGAAUUCCCAUUUUGCAGCAUGCAUUUAUUAAGUGAAACACUUUCUCUUAAUCUGACGAUGCCUGCUAAACAGGCUAAUUAUUUUGAUAGCAGUGGAUGAAAGUAAGAUUCAAAAGGAAGGUUGGAUGAUCUCUUAGCAGAAUUGCGUGUCGAGCAACAUGCCUUCAGUCAGGGCAGGCUCUUACCUCUAAAACUGACUUGGUUGACAGAAAGUAUGGCAAGUAACUUUUGCACAGCCUAAGGCCGAACCAUUGCAAUCUAAUGCUGGUGAAUUUGGAAGCCGGCGAGCAUUUCUGUUCAAUCUGAUAAGAGGUGGUUCAGUAGCUCUGCCACUUCAAAAGGCAGAAACGCAAUGCCUGUAAUUGUAGUCAAGAAUGCGUAUGUUUUAUUUGGGUAGAGGAGAAGGGUGGGAGGCUUGUUCUGCUUCAUAGCUAUUUAACUUUAUUGCUGUAUGAAAAAUCUGAAUCGCCUACGAUUUUGCCAGGAUUUCUAAGAGAUCCGUCUUCACAGCAAAAGUACGCUUACAGCUCAUUUUUUGGCUAAAAUAUGCUGCCCUGGGAAAUCUUCCCUUAACCAAUGCUUUAAAUAAUAACGUAUUUUAAAAGUUGUUCUGACUAAGGAGUGUGGCAGCUUUUAAUACCAGUGUUUUGGGGAUGGUGCAAGUAAAUAUUUCGAGUGGGAUUGUCACCCACGUCGCAGUUACUGACAGUGGUAUUGAUUGGAAGUUACGCUGUGACGCAACUCGCUGAAUCCAGGAUCCACGGCUCGUAGCGUGGUCUUUGGUUAGCACGUCCCUGUGCAGAGUGCCCCCGGUCCUGCCGAGUGACAUCUGGAUGGCCACUUCCUGUUGUCUGUUGCACUGAGCAGGACGACGUGGAUAAGUGUUGACUAUUUAAAACAAACGCACAAACCAACCUGUUUGAAUUUAAAUUAAACACAUAUUUUUCUUUAAAAAAACCCAAAAAACAAUAAAAACUUGAAUAUUCCAACUCAAAAGUUAUUGUAACUCGUAUUAAGGGCUAAGCUUCAUGUAAUUUAUUUAAAUAUUUUAAAAGGAAAAAUAAAAUAUUCAGGCAGUAAAAAAAUUGCUACCAAAGUGUUUUAAACUCAUUGUUCCUCGCUAAGUACCUGGAAGCAGAGUUUUUGAAUUGUUAGCCAGGCUCUUGACAACAGGAAUCUCUUCUGCUGCUUCAGAGAGAGGUUGCUCUUCAGUUCAGUCCUCUAGUUCAGUUCAGUGACUGAUUUGUUCAAAGGUAAGAAAGUGAUUUGGGAGCUGUAAAAGUAGGCAGGCUUGUUGUACUCUUCCAGGCUGUGGAUAAAAACAAGGCAUGGGAAGAUGGAUAGGAUCUCUCCGUUCUGGAUUCUUAACAAUGUAGUGAUCACGGGCUGUCCGUGUUGCCAGCUGUCGAUGCUGUGUCCUCUGUUGAGUAAAUCGGUUGGUUUUAAAAACAAAAUACAUUCUGAUAAACUUAUUAUUUUCUCAUCUGCUACAUUUCAGGUCAUUUUAUUUAAAUAAUAGAAAAGUAAUUUUAUUUUGUGCAUUUUUAAUUCAUUUCCAAUUUCCAUACAAACGCAGCUUGCCACUGCCGCGAGCUAAAAAUCAUUAGGUAGUGUAUA
This is a long non-coding RNA of Alligator sinensis (Chinese alligator), 2573 nucleotides long. RefSeq lists it as uncharacterized. The record is from RefSeq and is a predicted model, not a curated record. The transcript has 3 exons. Lineage: Eukaryota; Metazoa; Chordata; Crocodylia; Alligatoridae.